UACGAAGGGGGCUAGCGUUGUUCGGAAUUACUGGGCGUAAAGGGCGCGCAGGCGGCCGCUCAAGUCAGAUGUGAAAGCCCCGGGCUCAACCUGGGAACUGCAUUUGAUACUGAGUGGCUAGAGUUCGGGAGAGGAGAGUGGAAUUCCCAGUGUAGAGGUGAAAUUCGUAGAUAUUCGGAGGAACACCAGUGGCGAAGGCGGCUCACUGGCUCGAUACUGACGCUGAGGUGCGAAAGCGUGGGGAGCAAACAGG
RNAcentral lists this ribosomal RNA (253 nucleotides) under uncultured bacterium. RNAcentral describes it as "partial 16S ribosomal RNA". It matches the Rfam family "Bacterial small subunit ribosomal RNA", at positions 524 to 776 of the family's 1533-position model. The record is from RNAcentral.